GUGAGGAAUAUUGGUCAAUGGGCGAGAGCCUGAACCAGCCAAGUCGCGUGAAGGAUGAAGGUUUUAUGAAUUGUAAACUUCUUUUGCAGGGGAAUAAAGUACGGUACGUGUACCGUUUUGUAUGUACUCUGCGAAUAAGGAUCGGCUAACUCCGUGCCAGCAGCCGCGGUAAUACGGAGGAUCCAAGCGUUAUCCGGAUUUAUUGGGUUUAAAGGGGCGCAGGCGGGUUGAUAAGUCAGCGGUGAAAGUUUGCAGCUUAACUGUAAAAUUGCCGUUGAAACUGUCGAUCUUGAGUGCAAAUGAGGUAAGCGGAAUGUGUUGUGUAGCGGUGAAAUGCUUAGAUAUAACACAGAACACCGAUUGCGAAGGCAGCUUACUGGGAUGCAACUGACGCUCAUGCACGAAAGCGUGGGGAUCAAACAGGAUUAGAUACCCUAGUAGUCC
RNAcentral lists this ribosomal RNA (444 nucleotides) under uncultured bacterium. Its description in RNAcentral is "partial 16S ribosomal RNA". It matches the Rfam family "Bacterial small subunit ribosomal RNA", at positions 354 to 796 of the family's 1533-position model. The record is from RNAcentral.